UUUUUUUAACCAAAAACCGAACCAAUAAAAUUACCCAACAAAUCCUUUAAAAACCAAACCACCCAGCAAAAAGGACUACACUAAGGACCUUUUUCUCUCUGGCAAAUUGAGGUAGUAGGUUGUAUAGUAGUAACUACAAAUCAUACUAUACAAUGUGCUAGCUUUCUUUGCUUGACUAUUAGCCGCAAUUGAUUUAAACUCCCAAUCGAACUGCACCGCCAACACAACCCAUUCCCAGCCAUACAAAAGUUGGUGGUGCACUUUAUUUCGAUUGUGGACAUCAAGAAAAGUGUUCUGAGCCAGACUUUAUUUCGAAUUCAUUACGAAUGCCUUGGUUAUGUAAAUGCAACCGGGCAUAUGUAAAUAUUGGCAUUAGUGACAUGUGCAAAUGUUUGUAUGGCUGAUUCCCUGAGACCCUAACUUGUGACUUUUAAUACCAGUUUCACAAGUUUUGAUCUCCGGUAUUGGACGCAAACUUGCUGAUGUUAAUGAAAAAUAAACAAAGGCAAAAACAAAAGCUGAUGGAGGGCAGCAAUAAAUGGAAGUACAGAAAAGUUCUUCCGAAGAAAUAUGCGGUUCUGCUGGUUUGGAUGUGCGGAUAAGAUUAAACGGGGGAUUUAACUCUUGGAUUGGAUUGACACUUUUUAUAAGUUGGAGUUCCGAAAAAAUUAAAUCUAUUAAUGUUUAUUGAUCGAAACGAGAUGGCUUCUUAAACAUACUUUUAACUCUUUCAAAAACUAUACUCUGCUGUAAAUGUAUGCUAGGAUUAAAUUAAAAUGUUUUGAAUUGUUCGACUCUUUUAGAUAUAUCUAUAAUGCUUAAGUACCAAUAUGUCCUUCGUUCAAUUAUCAGAUUUCCAAUAUAUUAAAUUGAAUAAGUUUAGAACCAAGUCGCAGCUCUAAUUUGGAAAGUAACGUGUUAAAUUUAUCCCUAUUCCAGAUAAAAAAUACAACUUAAAUCAUUUAUCUAUAAAAAAACCUUUAUUGUAAUCCCAAAGAUGACUUCUAUUAAAACCACCGCUGAAACCACACAAUAACUUAUACAUGAUUUUGACGUAUUUUAACUAUAAACUACUAACUACUAAGUUCUAGAGAUACAAUAUGAGAAAGAUUUAAAUAAAUCGAUAAGAGUUAUGAUUUUGA
Drosophila eugracilis is the source of this 1142-nucleotide long non-coding RNA. RefSeq lists it as uncharacterized. The transcript has 2 exons. The record is from RefSeq and is a predicted model, not a curated record. Lineage: Eukaryota; Metazoa; Arthropoda; Insecta; Diptera; Drosophilidae.